Molecule: non-coding RNA, 107 nt
Organism: Solanum tuberosum (potato)
Lineage: Eukaryota; Viridiplantae; Streptophyta; Magnoliopsida; Solanales; Solanaceae
Source: Rfam
UGACACAUGAAUGUCAAUCGCAGAUAAAAUUGAAAUGAUACAGAGAAGAUCUGUGUGGUCCCUGCACAAAGAUGACUCACACAAAUCGAGAAAUGAUCCAAGUUUUC